CACGGGUGGCUCCCAUCAGGUCAGGAGUUGUACCUCUGUGUCACCUCGCCCUGCAAUGCUGUUCUACUGCACAAGAGGGAACAAAAGGGAAAACACGCUUGUCCUGGUUGCUGCUCCUCCACCUCAGGAGCAGAGAAGGCUGCCUCUGGAAGUACAGCAAAUGAGAGGGUGGCGCUUACAUGGAAACUACUUCACAAACACACGAAAGACAACAGAAAUAAUAAAACUUGUAGAAUUUUUUAUUAUGGAUGUCACAGCUUGCUACUCUAAAAACACUCAACACCUAUAAAUACACUCAAUAAAUGCUUAUAUUUCAAGUGGUGGUGAACCUAUGGCACGUGUGUUGUUUUUCUUUUAAGACCAAAGAUGUUAAUGUAUGAGUUGUUUUUUCUAAACUGAAACCUCAGUAUUCAGGUUUAACUGUAGUGUUGGAACUUCAUGAUAAAUAAGUGAGUUUUGGGUUCCGGUUUGGACACUCAGUAAAAGCAUCACUGUCACUGGCUUAUAAGAUCAAAAUUAUUUCACUAUCAUCUGUCAGAGUUACCUGAGGAAUAGCUGCAGGGCAAUUGUUACUCUGGAGACAAAUCUUUAAAUAGGCACAAAUCCUACAGCAUGAGUAGUCAUUACUACAGUAUUUCUAGUUCUCAAAUUCUAGACAGUAUUUAUAGGAGAAACAGUACCAACAAUAUUCUAGAAGUAAAUAUGCUCAGGUUUAGCUAAAUCUUAACUUCCACAGGUAUGUCUGAGUUAUAAUUUUGCCAAUGUAAAAGAUAAACUCUUCUCUACAAAUGUAAAAAAGGAAAAAAAAAUCCUCGUACGCACACUUAAUACACAUCUACUCGUAGGUCCUGACAGCUGUCAGUAUCUUAUUUACGCUGUUAAAUACUUGCCAUAACAUGCUAACAACAUUCUUGAAAGGAAGUCUCUAAUUGUGAGUGUGCAGAUAUAGUUAUAAAUUAUAAAUGAACAUAAAAUUAGAAAAUUGCUUUUGGAAUGCUAUAUAAACAAGAGAAAUUCUGUUUCAGUAAGAGAAAAACUGUUGAAAAAUUUGUUUUU
This 1056-nucleotide long non-coding RNA is filed under the name Fukomys damarensis (Damara mole-rat). RNAcentral describes it as "lncRNA (ENSFDAG00000022917.1)". The record is from RNAcentral. Lineage: Eukaryota; Metazoa; Chordata; Mammalia; Rodentia; Bathyergidae.